GAUGAAGAACGUAGCGAAAUGUGAUAAGUAAUGUGAAUUGCAGAAUUCAGUGAAUCAUCGAAUCUUUGAACGCACCUUGCGCCUUUUGGUAUUCCGAAAGGCACACCUGUUUGAGCGUCAUGAAUACCUCAAUCUCCAUCUUUUCUUCGGAUUGAUGGGUGACUUGGAUGUUGAGCCCUGCUGGUAUGCUAUAUCAGCUGGCUUUAAACUUAUUAGCCGGCUCUGUACUGGAUCGGUUUGACUCGACGUGAUAAUAUUAUCGUUGAGGAUGCAUGUCUCAUGCAGCCGGAAAGUAUCAAAGCAGCUUCUAGCUUGCCUUUAGUGCACUUUUACAUUUUAGACCUCAGAUCAGGUGGGACUACCCGCUGAACUUAAGCAUAUCAAUAAGCGGAGGA
RNAcentral lists this unclassified non-coding RNA (395 nucleotides) under soil metagenome. RNAcentral's name for it is "partial contains 5.8S ribosomal RNA, internal transcribed spacer 2, and large subunit ribosomal RNA". The stretch from base 1 to 120 matches the Rfam family "5.8S ribosomal RNA", at positions 35 to 154 of the family's 154-position model. The record is from RNAcentral.